GAUGAACGCUGGCGGCGUGCCUAAUACAUGCAAGUCGAGCGAACAGAUGAGGAGCUUGCUCCUCUGACGUUAGCGGCGGACGGGUGAGUAACACGUGGAUAACCUACCUAUAGGCUGGGGUUAAUUUGGGGAACCGGGGGUAAUUACGGAUAAUAAUUUUGACCGCCUGGGUUCAUAGUUAAAGACGGUUUUGCUGGUAACUUUAGAUGGAACCGCGCCGCAUUAGCUAGUUGGUAAGGUAACGGCUUACCAAGGCAACGAUGCGUAGCCGACCUGAGAGGGUGAUCGGCCACACUGGAACUGAGACACGGUCCAGACUCCUACGGGAGGCAGCAGUAGGGAAUCUUCCGCAAUGGGCGAAAGCCUGACGGAGCAACGCCGCGUGAGUGAUGAAGGUCUUCGGAUCGUAAAACUCUGUUAUUAGGGAAGAACAAAUGUGUAAGUAACUAUGCACGUCUUGACGGUACCUAAUCAGAAAGCCACGGCUAACUACGUG
This 496-nucleotide ribosomal RNA is filed under the name uncultured bacterium. RNAcentral's name for it is "partial 16S ribosomal RNA". It matches the Rfam family "Bacterial small subunit ribosomal RNA", at positions 28 to 507 of the family's 1533-position model. The record is from RNAcentral.